CUAAGAAUAUUCCGCAAUGGGGGAAACCCUGACGGAGCGACGCUGCGUGGACGAGGAAGGCCGGAAGGUUGUAAAGUCCUUUUGAACCGGAAGAAUAAGCAGUGCAGGGAAUGGCAGUGUGGUGACGGUACGGUUUGAAUAAGAGGCGGCUAAUUACGUGCCAGCAGCCGCGGUAACACGUAAGCCUCGAGCGUUGUUCGGAAUUAUUGGGCGUAAAGGGCAUGUAGGCGGUAAUCUAAGCUUGGUGUGAAAGGCAGGGGCGUUAACUCCUGGACAGCAUUGAGAACUGGAUUGCUAGAGUUACUGAAGUGAAAUCAGAAUUCCAGGUGUAGGGGUGAAAUCU
Molecule: ribosomal RNA, 343 nt
Filed under: uncultured Treponema sp.
Lineage: Bacteria; Pseudomonadati; Spirochaetota; Spirochaetia; Treponematales; Treponemataceae
Description: bacterial SSU rRNA
Rfam family: Bacterial small subunit ribosomal RNA
Source: RNAcentral